This 511-nucleotide ribosomal RNA is filed under the name uncultured bacterium. Its description in RNAcentral is "partial 16S ribosomal RNA". It matches the Rfam family "Bacterial small subunit ribosomal RNA", at positions 28 to 507 of the family's 1533-position model. The record is from RNAcentral.
GACAAACGCUGGCGGCAUGCCUAACACAUGCAAGUCGAACGGACAGAACAGGGAAGCUUUUCGGAGUGGAACUGGAAAGUUAGUGGCGGCUGGGUGAGUAACGCGUGGACAACCUACCUUGUAAAGGGGAAUAACCUCGAGAAAUCGAAGCUAAUACCCCAUAAUAACCUUGCUUCGCAUGAAGUAAGGAGGAAAGGCGGCCUUAGCGCUGUCGAUACAAGAUGGGUCUGCGUCUGAUUAGCUAGUUGGUGGGGUAAAGGCUCACCAAGGCGACGAUCAGGAGCCGGCCUGAGUGGGUGAACGGCCACAUUGGGACUGAGACACGGCCCAAACUCCUACGGGAGGCAGCAGUGGGGAAUCUUCCGCAAUGGGCGAGAGCCUGACGGAGCAAUGCCGCGUGAGUGAAGAAGGCCUUCGGGUUGUAAAGCUCUGUCCUUAUCGAAGAGAGAGUGUUGUAGUAACUGACAAUACUAGGACGGUAGAUGAGGAGGAAGCCCCGGCUAACUAUGUG